AUGAUCAGCCUGAUUGGCUUGUUGAUCAUAUGGGUGCAAUUGUCACGUGAGUUUGAGACUUUCCUCACUGCUUCCAGAGAAGCCAACAGAGUAAAAAAUUAUCUGAAUGUAGGGAAGGUGAAUGGACAACAGAUAAAUCAAAUUCCUGAGUUCCUGUUCAUACAUGAAGGAGAGAAAUUCUUCAUCUACUGCAAUUCCUCAAGUACUUUUAAUAGCUUACAAUGGUAUAAGCAGAAGCCUGGAGGAAGCCCUGUCUUGUUGAUAAUGCUGCUUAAGGCUGGAGAAGUCAAGGAGCAGAACAGUCUGACAGCUCAGUUUGGAAAGACAAGAAAGGACAGUUCUUUGCACAUCAAAGACGCCCACCCUGCAGAUACGGGCACGUACUUCUGCGCGAUGGAAAAAACACAGAUGGGGAAUUCCAAUUAUUCCUGGAAUGAUCAGUUGAAAAACAGUGAUACAGAUAGUUGUAUAAAGGAUUUGAGUUUAUCUUUCAAUGAUUUUAACCAAAAUUUUAAAAAUGUUUUAGCUUAA
Molecule: non-coding RNA, 531 nt
Organism: Chrysochloris asiatica (Cape golden mole)
Lineage: Eukaryota; Metazoa; Chordata; Mammalia; Afrosoricida; Chrysochloridae
Source: the annotation of a RefSeq genome assembly